This 254-nucleotide ribosomal RNA is filed under the name uncultured bacterium. RNAcentral's name for it is "partial 16S ribosomal RNA". It matches the Rfam family "Bacterial small subunit ribosomal RNA", at positions 524 to 776 of the family's 1533-position model. The record is from RNAcentral.
UACGUAGGGGGCUAGCGUUGUCCGGAAUCAUUGGGCGUAAAGAGCUCGUAGGCGGUGUGUCGCGUCGGCCGUGAAAACCUGCAGCUUAACUGUGGGCUUGCGGUCGAUACGGGCAUCACUGGAGUUCGGCAGGGGAGACUGGAAUUCCUGGUGUAGCGGUGAAAUGCGCAGAUAUCAGGAGGAACACCGGUGGCGAAGGCGGCAUCCUGGACCAACACUGACGCUGAGGAGCGAAAGCCAGGGGAGCAAACGGG